Non-coding RNA from Cinara cedri, 214 nucleotides. The record is from the annotation of a GenBank genome assembly. NCBI's taxonomy places the organism in Eukaryota, Metazoa, Arthropoda, Insecta, Hemiptera, Aphididae.
GGUUAUUUUUGUGAUUUUUCAAUCGGUUUUUAUAAUGACUGGGAAAAAUGUCAGAAAAGCGAAAAAUUUUUUUGUGAAAACAAAUUUUCUACCUUACCAAUUCCCACUUACAAAAGUGUUUACACCUAUGUGCGAAGUAUGUCAGUCUUUUUGUACACGGUAUUUAUUUUAUAUAAUUUGUGAAUAUGAAAAUGUAUGCCUUUUUGCAGUUAAU